Molecule: ribosomal RNA, 468 nt
Filed under: uncultured bacterium
Lineage: Bacteria
Description: partial 16S ribosomal RNA
Rfam family: Bacterial small subunit ribosomal RNA
Source: RNAcentral
GACGAACGCUGGCGGCGUGCUUAACACAUGCAAGUCGAACGGAAAGGCCCUGCUUUUUUGGGGUUCUCGAGUGGCGAACGGGUGAGUAACACGUGAGUAACCUGCCCUUGACUUUGGGAUAUCUUCAGGAAACUGGGGCUAAUACCGGAUAGGAUCUCCUGCUGCAUGGUGUGGGUUGGAAAGUUUCGGCGGUUGGGGAUGGACUCGCGGCUUAUCAGCUUGUUGGUGGGGUAGUGGCUUACCAAGGCUUUGACGGGUAGCCGGCCUGAGAGGGUGACCGGCGAGAAUGGGACUGAGAGAGGGAAAAGAAUGGAACGGGAGGCAGGAGUGGGGAAUAUUGCACAAUGGGCGGAAGCCUGAUGAAGAAACGCGGGGAGGGGGAAGACGGCGUACGGGUUGUAAAACGAAUUAGAAUGUGAAGAAGAGUGAGUGACGGUAAUGGGUAAAGAAGCACCGGCUAACUACGUG